Non-coding RNA from Cicer arietinum (chickpea), 181 nucleotides. The record is from RefSeq and is a predicted model, not a curated record. NCBI's taxonomy places the organism in Eukaryota, Viridiplantae, Streptophyta, Magnoliopsida, Fabales, Fabaceae.
AUCAGAAGCUCAAGAUCAGCGUCUGCGAACAUUGUGUCAGUUCCGACAAGCUAGGUUUCGAAGGAAACAAUUAAUUAAUUUAAGAAGAGUCUCCACCUUCCCAAACAAUACUACAAAUAAUGUGUUACAGGGAUGCAAUAUUAGUUAAUGCACUUUGGAAUAAGGAAAAUUUUGUCAAGAA